Molecule: long non-coding RNA, 931 nt
Organism: Leopardus geoffroyi (Geoffroy's cat)
Lineage: Eukaryota; Metazoa; Chordata; Mammalia; Carnivora; Felidae
Exons: 2
Source: RefSeq, a predicted model, not a curated record
UCUGGGUUCCUCUCUCCGCCCCCCGCUGCCUGGCGCAUAACUUUCCAGCUAGAGAGUGAAGGGAGGGGGGAGGCGGGGGUCGGGGCCGAGGAGCGGUGGAACUUCUCAGAAAAAUAGGUGCCCGCCCACGCAGCCUUGGCGCACUAGCGCUCGGCACUUUGGAUUCUGUAGUCCGGUGUGAGCGCCCCGAGCGGCGACCCGGCUUUGGCCGCCCCCGGGCCCAUAGUGGUGGUGGGGGCGGGGGGGGGGGGUCGUCGGGCGGGAUUUCAGGCAAACGGGUCUCCUUGAAUACCUGGGCGACGUUUGACACUUGUGCACCGAGACCCUUUGCAAAGCCAGAUGAGUCCGACGGGCUCCCGAAACCGAGGUGUGGGUUACAUUUCUGCGGGUGCACCAAUUGCCAUGAGCGCGGCUGCUUAAUGCUUCUGUCAUUGGAAGUCUGGUCUCCAAACCACCGUCUCAAGCCAGCAUGACUCCAGCUGCCUGGAAUUCCAUUCAUCUCUAAGGGCCGGGAUGUCAGCAGCCACACUUCCCCUGCUGUGGCCCUGCACUGUCAGGCUGGCCCUGAGACACAGGACGCAGGUAGUAGCCUCACCAAAUAAGGAGCUGUGCCACAGGCUGGGGAAAGCCCUUUGGUUCACCUUCCUUCUCAGUCCUCACACCUGGCAGGACUCCUAACUGCUGGAAACGCCCACGACUUUGCCUUCAUCACAAGGGCCCUGUCGCUUUUCUUGUGUGGGAGUGUUGUGUGACAACAUGCACGUGUGUGCGGAUUGCGGUAUCCGUGUUUUCUAGUUACUCAGUAUACAUCAAGUGCUUCUGGAAGAUGACAAGUAUGUUCCUAAGACACAUGUUUGUUGGUUGCUCGAAUAAUAACUAAACCUGACAGAUAGAUUUCACGUGUUGAGAGACAGAAAUAAAAGUUUCUAUC